This 157-nucleotide ribosomal RNA is filed under the name uncultured bacterium. Its description in RNAcentral is "partial 16S ribosomal RNA". It matches the Rfam family "Bacterial small subunit ribosomal RNA", at positions 355 to 509 of the family's 1533-position model. The record is from RNAcentral.
UGAGGAAUAUUGGUCAAUGGUCGCAAGACUGAACCAGCCAUGCCGCGUGCAGGAAGACGGUCCUAUGGAUUGUAAACUGCUUUUAUACAGGAAGAAACCCUCCUACGUGUGGGAGCUUGACGGUACUGUAGGAAUAAGGAUCGGCUAACUCCGUGCC